GAGAUAGAAAUAAGAUAU
This 18-nucleotide microRNA is filed under the name Corchorus olitorius. RNAcentral's name for it is "oan-miR-14". Lineage: Eukaryota; Viridiplantae; Streptophyta; Magnoliopsida; Malvales; Malvaceae. The record is from RNAcentral.